Long non-coding RNA from Hibiscus syriacus, 401 nucleotides. RefSeq lists it as uncharacterized. The transcript is spliced from 2 exons. The record is from RefSeq and is a predicted model, not a curated record. Lineage: Eukaryota; Viridiplantae; Streptophyta; Magnoliopsida; Malvales; Malvaceae.
UGUCAUUUUGUAUCCAAACCAAGGAAGCUGCUUCUCUACUCAAAGCCUGGUUGCUGUUUGUGCGAUGGCCUCAAAGGAAAAAUCCCGCCCCCUUUUCACUUCCUGGUUCAGAUUCCCUCGUCGAGUUACGGGCGAGGGACAUUACCAGCGAUCCCGAGUGGGAGAAGGCAUACCAAUAUGAGAUACCCGUUUUAGCCAAAGUAUUCUCCCAUGGUACUGAGGCGAGGUUUUUCUUCUUUCCUUCAAAGCUAUAUCAGUGUCAGGAUUUAUUAUGGGUUCCCUUUUAAUGAGUGUACGACAUCUCAGAUAAAGAAUUCAACAUGGAUAAUUUCACACAAGAAUUUCUGCUAAGUUUCUCUUGUUAUGAAUUGUUGUAUAGCAACUCCCUUUGAAAGGUAAGC